GAUGAACGCUGGCGGCGUGCCUAAUACAUGCAGGUCGAGCGAACGGACGAGAAGCUUGCUUCUCUGAUGUUAGCGGCGGACGGGUGAGUAACACGUGGAUAACCUACCUAUAAGACUGGGAUAACUUCGGGAAACCGGAGCUAAUACCGGAUAAUAUUUUGAACCGCAUGGUUCAAAAGUGAAAGACGGUCUUGCUGUCACUUAUAGAUGGAUCCGCGCUGCAUUAGCUAGUUGGUAAGGUAACGGCUUACCAAGGCAACGAUGCAUAGCCGACCUGAGAGGGUGAUCGGCCACACUGGAACUGAGACACGGUCCAGACUCCUACGGGAGGCAGCAGUAGGGAAUCUUCCGCAAUGGGCGAAAGCCUGACGGAGCAACGCCGCGUGAGUGAUGAAGGUCUUCGGAUCGUAAAACUCUGUUAUUAGGGAAGAACAUAUGUGUAAGUAACAGUGCACAUCUUGACGGUACCUAAUCAGAAAGCCACGGCUAACUACGUG
RNAcentral lists this ribosomal RNA (497 nucleotides) under uncultured bacterium. RNAcentral describes it as "partial 16S ribosomal RNA". It matches the Rfam family "Bacterial small subunit ribosomal RNA", at positions 28 to 507 of the family's 1533-position model. The record is from RNAcentral.